GCGCUGGUGGUGUAGCAUCGCUGCCCGGAAAGCAGAAGGUGCGGGUUCGAGUCCCGCCUGGCACA
Molecule: non-coding RNA, 65 nt
Organism: Heligmosomoides polygyrus
Lineage: Eukaryota; Metazoa; Nematoda; Chromadorea; Rhabditida; Heligmosomidae
Source: Rfam